CGAGCCCCUCCCACGCUGCGCGCGCGCCUCUCCCCCGACCGCUGCGUUUUUACCCGACCGAGCCACCCUGCGCGCACUGGCGACCUGGGUUCGAUCCUCGGCAACGGCAUUUUUACACCUUUUGUUUUGCGAGUUCCGACUCGGACACAGGACACCCACCUGCGAAGCUCCGUCGAUCAUCGUUGCCCUUCUGCCGCCCGUCCGCUUGAUUGCGCGAGCUCAACCGGCGGAUCCAGCGCCGGCUCUGCAUCUUGCAUCGGAGGAGCACCGUCAUGCGCGGGCUAUUGGCUUCGGUGCCGACCUCGCAUUCGCCGCCUGCUCCAUCGACGAGCUAUGCUGCCCCGACUUCUGCUCGUGUAGAGCAGGCCUGUCCCCCGGCCGAUUCGCAGCGUGGUUGGAGAAGAGAGCUCGAGGCCUCGAGCGCUGCCGCCCAUCCAUCUCCCGAGCCCAAGUGCCGCCGGCCGAUUUGAGCCAGUCCGCGCCGACAGCUCCGGCAGCUCCCUGCUAGGACGUUCUUAUCGGUGGCUUUUCAUUGGAGGCAGUGGUGAGGUCGUUGAACUCCUCAGUCCCCUUCCCCUUUCCUCGAUGUCACAGCUCGAUCUUUCAUUGUUCUGCAUACACGUGUGUGGUUCAGUGGACAAUUCGAUUCGUCAGAAAGUCAGAACCAUAUCUACAUAGUCGAUUUGAGUUGCUCCUUGAGAUUCUGCAUCAUGGGUCGGUGCCGGAGCUUGUAUUGUGAAUUUGUGAUCCAGAUUAUUGGAUUCUUGUUUCUGUAACCUGUAACCUGAGGGCUGGUCCGGCAGCUCCUUGUGAAUUUGUGAUCCAGAUUAUUGGAUUCUUGUUUCUGUAACCUGUAACCUGAGGGCUGGUCCGGCAGCUCCUUGCUACGGCCCGUGUGUUAAGACAAAACACUUGAAAUCUACAUUUUAGCAUAAGUUAAUUUUCUAGCGCCAUAAAAAUAGAUUAUGGGAUCUGGUAUCGUGGUUUUUUUUUCCGGUGGCAAGUAAUGACAUGUAGAUGCAAAUUAUUUGCAUCAAUCUAGUGUGAAAGUAGUAUUUUUUUUAUCCUGAAGGAAUAA
This 1078-nucleotide long non-coding RNA is filed under the name Setaria italica (foxtail millet). RNAcentral describes it as "long non-coding RNA (SITA_LNC005385)". The record is from RNAcentral. Lineage: Eukaryota; Viridiplantae; Streptophyta; Magnoliopsida; Poales; Poaceae.